Non-coding RNA from Fusarium venenatum, 86 nucleotides. The record is from RefSeq and is a predicted model, not a curated record. Lineage: Eukaryota; Fungi; Ascomycota; Sordariomycetes; Hypocreales; Nectriaceae.
UGUUGUUGUUGUUGUUGUUGUUGUUGUUGUUGUUACCGUUGCCUGCACCAGCAUCGGCACCAUCGUCAGCGGCAGCGUCAUCUCCA